CUGUGGUAAUUCUAGAGCUAAUACAUGCACCAAAGCUCCGAUUUUGACGAGCGCAUCUAUUAGAUUAAAACCAAUCAGGUUUCGGCCUGUUUAUUGGUGACUCUGAAUAGCUUAGCUGAUCGCAUGGUCUUGCACCGGCGACGUGUCUAUCAAGUGUCUGCCUUAUCAACUUUCGAUGGUAGUUUAAAUGCCUACCAUGGUUGUUACGGGUAACGGAGAAUAAGGGUUCGACUCCGGAGAGGGAGCCUUAAAAACGGCUACCACAUCCAAGGAAGGCAGCAGGCGCGCAAAUUACCCACUCUCAGCAUGAGGAGGUAGUGACGAAAAAUAACAAGACCGUUCUCUAUGAGGCCGGUUAUUGGAAUGAGUACAAUUUAAAUCCGUUAACGAGGAUCUAUGAGAGGGCAAGUCUGGUGCCAGCAGCCGCGGUAAUUCCAGCUCUCAAAGUGUAUAUCGUCAUUGCUGCGGUUAAAAAGCUCGUAGUUUGAUAUGCGCUACAGGAUUCGGUCCGCCCAUUGGGCGUGAACUGAACUCCUGGGCUAGUAUUGUUGGUUUUCCUUACGUUACCUUAAUCGGUUGCGUAAGGUGACUAACGAGUUUACUUUGAAAAAAUUAGAGUGCUUAACGCGGGCUUAUGCCUGAAUAUUCGUGCAUGGAAUAAUGGAAUAGGAUCUCGGUUCUAUUUUGUUGGUUUUCUGAUCUGAGAUAAUGGUUAAGAGGGACAGACGGGGGCAUUCGUAUCGCUUCGUGAGAGGUGAAAUUCUUGGACCGUAGCGAGACGCCCGACUGCGAAAGCAUUUGCCAAGAAUAUUACAUAGUCAA
RNAcentral lists this ribosomal RNA (822 nucleotides) under Ascaridia galli. RNAcentral describes it as "SSU rRNA". It matches the Rfam family "Eukaryotic small subunit ribosomal RNA", at positions 147 to 980 of the family's 1831-position model. Lineage: Eukaryota; Metazoa; Nematoda; Chromadorea; Rhabditida; Ascaridiidae. The record is from RNAcentral.